GAUGAACGCUGGCGGCGUGCCUAAUACAUGCAAGUCGAGCGAACGGACGAGAAGCUUGCUUCUCUGAUGUUAGCGGCGGACGGGUGAGUAACACGUGGAUAACCUACCUAUAAGACUGGGAUAACUUCGGGAAACCGGAGCUAAUACCGGAUGAUAUUUUGAACCGCAUGGUUCAAAAGUGAAAGACGGUCUUGCUGUCACUUAUAGAUGGAUCCGCGCUGCAUUAGCUAGUUGGUAAGGUAACGGCUUACCAAGGCAGCGAUGCAUAGCCGACCUGAGAGGGUGAUCGGCCACACUGGAGCUGAGACAGGGUCCAGACUCCUACGGGAGGCAGCAGUAGGGAAUCUUCCGCAAUGGGCGAAAGCCUGACGGAGCAGCGCCGCGUGAGUGAUGAAGGUCUUCGGAUCGUGAAACUCUGUUAUUAGGGAAGAACAUAUGUGUAAGUAACUGUGCACAUCUUGACGGUACCUAAUCAGAAAGCCACGGCUAACUACGUG
This 497-nucleotide ribosomal RNA is filed under the name uncultured bacterium. Its description in RNAcentral is "partial 16S ribosomal RNA". It matches the Rfam family "Bacterial small subunit ribosomal RNA", at positions 28 to 507 of the family's 1533-position model. The record is from RNAcentral.